CCUAGGGGUAAAGAUUAUAACCGGUGAUCUUAGUUUAGUAGGAAAAAAAAUAUAUGUAUUCAAAACGGAGGGGUUUCCUGAAUAGUGGCGGCACAAAAUUUAUAGAAGAACAAGCAGGGGUGGUUAUUCAAUUCUUACGGUGGCUUGAAAGUUUGAGAAGUUUAAGGUGAAUACCUUUGCUUCCUAAUAGCUGAACGAAAUUGGCUAUCCAUUUAAAUCAAAAUUUUAGAAACCUAACGAGCAGAUUGAGGCCAUUGGAGGCCGUUUGGUUGGUGUUCUAGACGUUGCAAGGUUGAGGAACUUGUCGUUAGCGAGAUACCGUCGUUGAGAACGAGGCUGGUGAUUGAAGAUUUCGUGAGUGGAUUCUGUUGCUGAGAUGAGCCACCACAUUGUUCGUGGAGGCAACCAUUUUAACUUUAUCUAGUUUACUUCUAGUUAUUUCUUUUAUAUUUGGGUUUACAUGCCCGACAUUCAAACUCAUGUAACUCUGUUAGAUGCUCCAUGGUCUUAGUGUGAAUUUGGGCUAGUAAUUCUUUUAUCUUAGCAUUGGUUGGCUUUCAUUAGUCGAUAAUGGAUUUGGUUGAUGAUUAUUUUGUAUUUUAUUAUUAAUAAUGUCAUUG
Long non-coding RNA from Lycium barbarum (goji berry), 620 nucleotides. RefSeq lists it as uncharacterized. The transcript is spliced from 3 exons. Lineage: Eukaryota; Viridiplantae; Streptophyta; Magnoliopsida; Solanales; Solanaceae. The record is from RefSeq and is a predicted model, not a curated record.